This 1082-nucleotide long non-coding RNA is filed under the name Heterocephalus glaber (naked mole-rat). RNAcentral's name for it is "lncRNA (ENSHGLG00100037986.1)". The record is from RNAcentral. Lineage: Eukaryota; Metazoa; Chordata; Mammalia; Rodentia; Bathyergidae.
CUGAUGUCUGUGAGCUGGGCUGUAAUGCAUCACCCUCAUCCUCAUCAGCCAGGCAGCUCCCUGUCCUUAUGCAGAUGAGAAAUUCCAGGCCCCAGGAGGAAAGUGACCUACUCCAAGUCAUUGCUGCUCUCUGCUCAGAUGCAACUGGGAAGUGAGGUUCUAAGCCAAAGUUCCUGACUCCUGGCCAGACCUGUUUCCUAUAGCAGACAGAUGGACAGAGUCCUUUGUGACCACUCUGCUCGUCCAUAAUUGGGUUGGAAAGGCACUGUUCUCUGCUCCUAUUCUCUCCCUCUGCCCAGCCCGGCAGCUCCCCAUGGCCCUGGCUGACAGCAACCUAAUUUCCCACUUGGGAGGGUGAAUGGAUGGAUGAAUAAAUGAAUGAUGAGGAAAGGCAGGAAGGAAGGAAGGGAGGAACAAAAAAAAGAAGGCAAAGAGAAGGAAGAAAAAAGGAAGGAAGGGAGGGAGGAAGGAAGAAAAGAGGGAAGAAGGAUGAAUAAAAGAAAAGAAGGAAGGAGAGAGGGAAGGAAGGAGGAAAGGAGAGAGGAAGGCAGGGAGGUGGGCCAUCUUAUGCCAAGGCAGGCGUGACAACGGGAGCCCUCCCAGGCCUUGGAUCCAGAUGGAGGAAGAACAUCCCACGCACAUCCAACAUCCAUCCUGGGAAGGGGGCUGCUCUCCGUGGGCCUCCACUGCUCCUGACCCUGGGAUUCUGUGGAGCCAGCCCAGGCUGGCAUCCAGUCAAGGCUGCCCGGAGAGAGAGUGCCACUCACAAGUUCAUCACCGCCCUCCCUGGGGAGACCAGCUAGGCAAGAAGCAAACCUAUUCCCCAGGUGCAGAGUCAGAGGCCCAGAUGCACCUGCUACCUCAACCCCACCAGCCCACAUCACUCGUUACUGGGACAGCACGUGUACACUGAGCACCUCCUGUGGAGCAGGCGAGGUGCAGGCCAGCUCAUUCGAUCUUCCCAGUAAUGCAGGACGCAUCCAUUUCACAGAUGUGGAAGUGGAGGGCCUCAUCCAGGACAACGGGGGUCUCCUGGGGGGGGGGCUGAAGCACCCACCUCCCACCCUCCACAGGGCCAGCCU